This 405-nucleotide ribosomal RNA is filed under the name uncultured bacterium. RNAcentral's name for it is "partial 16S ribosomal RNA". It matches the Rfam family "Bacterial small subunit ribosomal RNA", at positions 361 to 773 of the family's 1533-position model. The record is from RNAcentral.
AUAUUGCGCAAUGGAGGGAACUCUGACGCAGCGACGCCGCGUGAGCGAUGAAGGUUUUCGGAUCGUAAAGCUCUGUCCUUGGGGAAGAAGAUCUUAGGAUUUGACGGUACCCGAGGAGGAAGCCCCGGCUAACUACGUGCCAGCAGCCGCGGUAAUACGUAGGGGGCAAGCGUUGUCCGGAAUUAUUGGGCGUAAAGGGUGCGUAGGCGGCCUUUUAAGUCAGAUGUGAAAGCCCACGGCUUAACCGUGGGACUGCAUUUGAAACUGUAGGGCUUGAGUGCAGGAGAGGAGAGUGGAAUUCCUAGCGUAGCGGUGAAAUGCGUAGAUAUUAGGAGGAAUACCAGUGGCGAAGGCGACUUUCUGGACAUAUACUGACGCUGAGGAACGAAAGCGUGGGGAGCAAAC